RNAcentral lists this small RNA (544 nucleotides) under Pongo abelii (Sumatran orangutan). Its description in RNAcentral is "processed transcript". Lineage: Eukaryota; Metazoa; Chordata; Mammalia; Primates; Hominidae. The record is from RNAcentral.
UUUCUGUUUUCUUCGUUCCCUCAGCCCCACGAACCCCGGGAGAUUUAAACCGCGCCUUACUAGUGAUGUACAUUCGCUCGGAACCUGCUUCCCCAGAAAGGAGAUGUGUGAAAAUUCUUUGUCCUCUAGGAUACAGACAGUGAGUGUGGGAGUUAGCACAGAACCUUGCUAUGCCAGGCAGGGAAUGAAGAGUCUCUUAGAGCCAAUGGAUUCCACUCCUUUGGAUGACCGGCUCCAGGCCCUGGAGCCCUCAGAAUAUGGAUGGAGAUUUGCAGACUUGGUGGCUCCUGCCUCCUCCCCUCCCUGGCUCAGUGAGGAAGACCCCCGCCACUGGCUCUACUUUCCAGCUGAUCACAGCUAUUUACCUGUCCCAGUCUUGAGUAAGGCACAAAAUAUGUACAGAAAACAGAUGUCUUUCAGAGGACUUGCUGCUAAGUGUAAUAGUGAAGAUUACUUGCAUUACUGCUACUUUCCAAUCAAUUAAAAAAAAAAAGAAAUAGAAAACUUUGUAUUACAAAGAGAUCACAACACGAACGCAUUGUUU